GGCUCUGUGGCCUAAUGGAGAAGGCGUCUGUCUCCUAAACAGAAGAUUGUGGGUUCGAGUCCCACCAGGGUCG
Non-coding RNA from Strongyloides stercoralis, 73 nucleotides. The record is from Rfam. NCBI's taxonomy places the organism in Eukaryota, Metazoa, Nematoda, Chromadorea, Rhabditida, Strongyloididae.